UACGGAGGGAGCUAGCGUUGUUCGGAAUUACUGGGCGUAAAGCGCGCGUAGGCGGCCUUGUAAGUUAGAGGUGAAAGCCCGGGGCUCAACUCCGGAACUGCCUUUAAGACUGCAUCGCUUGAAUCCGGGAGAGGUGAGUGGAAUUCCGAGUGUAGAGGUGAAAUUCGUAGAUAUUCGGAAGAACACCAGUGGCGAAGGCGGCUCACUGGACCGGUAUUGACGCUGAGGUGCGAAAGCGUGGGGAGCAAACAGG
Molecule: ribosomal RNA, 253 nt
Filed under: uncultured bacterium
Lineage: Bacteria
Description: partial 16S ribosomal RNA
Rfam family: Bacterial small subunit ribosomal RNA
Source: RNAcentral